CUGUCUUUUCCUCUGGAGACGGCGAACUAAUUCGUAUCUUUACGCUGUGUGAGAAGGCUAUUGUAAUAAUUGACAAAUCAGGUCUUCGUUCACAAAUCAAUAUUAAUCCAGAGUCAUUUCACGAGUUUCCUCUAGCAUUAGCUGAGGCAACAGUCAUAACCUCGGACAAACGCGUGCUUGUUUCGCAAGUAUCAUCCUCUAAACCUUUUUAUGGUUCUAAAAGAGGGGAUCCGAGAUUAGUUCUACCGGCACCAGUAGAUUCCUGGUUGGAUGAAUACCAUUUUAGUACACCUGGAAAGUCUAAAGGCGGGAGUUUUGAACAUGGUCUUGUUCUUGUAGCCUAUAGUACGUCUAUUGGUACAACAACCUUAGACAACAUGAGUUUACAAUCAUCAUCAGUCUGGCAUACAAUCGCUGGUACAAAUUUGACGUAUACAGCUUUACCGUUAUCCGAAGGAGAUCAUACGUUGAAAUGCGUAGGAAUUUUGAAAUGUUGGGGAUAUGUUUUUGGAAUCGGUGUGUACGAGUAAUAUGGAACAUCUAUUGGCAGGAGUUUUACAAAGAAAAAGACACCUGAUGCAAACUUUAUAGGAAAAGUUAUCAUCGAAUUGGAUGUGAUAGACAAUCAAACACUUUUUACAACACCAGUUUUCACCGCCACUGCCAAGUCCCGCACUGAAUGCGGCAAGAUGUGUUUUUUGUAUUCAUGUUCGUUCCUCUCCUUUCGGUUUACAGAUGGACUAUGCUAUCUUUAUUCAGAGGAUCAAACAUGUAGUCUAACGGUAGAAUCAUCUGAUUUCCGACGCUAUCAUCUCAGAAAAUAGUGAAUUAUAUAUAAUUAGUAUUGUAAAAUUUUAAUCCCUUUUUCUUUCUACAAUAUACCAUCCUAAUAGACGUGUUAGAAACGUGGAUACUACUGUUGGCGCUCGUGUUUGAGUGGUGAUGAAUACACUCUGAUGUGGGGCUCAUCUCCAAAAUUAUAAAUACUCAAUCGAGCAUUGAUAACGAACCAAAAUUAAUCAUUGAAUGUAAAUUACGUGGUGCAUUUGUAAAUUGAAGAUAAUUAUAACCAUAUAUGUAAUAUUAAUUAUUUGAUUUAAGAAUGCAAGAUAUAAUAAAACAAUAAAGCACAUGUUUACCUUUUGUGGACAAAGGGAGGAUAUUUUUAUUUUUUUCUAAAAAACAACAAAUUCUUGCAUAAAGGGGGUAGGCUCGUUUGAUCUCCCUAUGGAGACAAAGUAUCGGAUUGCUUUCAUUCUGGUAAGAUUUAACAACAACAAAAAAGGAAUAAAAAACAAAAUCUAUUUUGAAAAACAAAAAUCCCCUUUUCCACAAGAUGAAUGCUUGAUGAUUUAUUUUAAAAUGCAAGUUAGGGAUUUCGUUUUCCACUUGCCUAAUAAACAUAAUAAGCAUUGUACGAUUGAAUAGCAUUUGUUUAAUGUCUCCCGAACAGACCAGCAUAAAUUCAACUGUUUCUUUGAGCUCGUUCCUUUGCUGUCACCAUAACGUUCCAAACGACUCUCUAAAGGUGUUAUUGCACUCUCAUUUCUUUUUUCCUCUGCGUUUACCGUCUUAAUUGAUGUCUAAUAUAUGGUGUAACAAUUGGUGGACAAUUGACCGUUGAUCUAUGAACUUGAAAAUGAAUGGGGCCCUGUAUUUUCGUAAUGGUAAAGUAUAUGCCAAGAUAAGUCAAAAUAUUCAAACUAUGACGGACUUUGAAGAGAGUAGAGUGUUAACAAGUGUUUUACGGACCGAAAGACUGACCGAGGAUAUAGUUGGAAGAUCCCCUCGAACUUUGUUGGCGAGAGGAUAAGACCGAAUGAAAGCGGAAAUAUAGAAAAAUGGGUUUAAAGGGUCGAUUAAAUUACAUUAAUGAAAGCCCGUUAUAGGGUAUAAGAUUGAA
Long non-coding RNA from Mytilus trossulus (common blue mussel), 1903 nucleotides. RefSeq lists it as uncharacterized. NCBI's taxonomy places the organism in Eukaryota, Metazoa, Mollusca, Bivalvia, Mytilida, Mytilidae. The record is from RefSeq and is a predicted model, not a curated record. The transcript is spliced from 3 exons.